RNAcentral lists this unclassified non-coding RNA (371 nucleotides) under Hevea brasiliensis (rubber tree). Lineage: Eukaryota; Viridiplantae; Streptophyta; Magnoliopsida; Malpighiales; Euphorbiaceae. The record is from RNAcentral.
AAAAAAAAAAAAAAAAAGAGAUUAUUUUGGAUCUAAACAGUUACAAUAAUUGACAUCACAAUUUGCCAAAAGCAGUUAAAGAGAUUUGAAGAUCUGAAUUAAAGUUCACUAGACAUACUCUCUGUCAAAUCUGUACAGCAGAAUCAGCAUUUUAUUUUCCAGAAAAGAGAAAAACUUGUCUACUCUAAUGAAUAACUUUAAUUAUUGCCAAUAUCAUUAUCAAUUUUAUUCCCUAAAAAAAAUUCUCUCAUCUUUUUCCCCUGUUUUCCUCAAACCAAACAGAAAUUCGCAUCCGAAACAUCCAAUAUUCUCCAUAAAACAAAAUUAGAAUAAAUAAAUAAAUACACACCAUUUCCUUCACUGCUGCAUGU